RNAcentral lists this ribosomal RNA (472 nucleotides) under uncultured bacterium. Its description in RNAcentral is "bacterial SSU rRNA". It matches the Rfam family "Bacterial small subunit ribosomal RNA", at positions 355 to 825 of the family's 1533-position model. The record is from RNAcentral.
UGGGGAAUAUUGGACAAUGGGCGCAAGCCUGAUCCAGCAAUGCCGCGUGUGUGAAGAAGGCCUUCGGGUUGUAAAGCACUUUUAUCAGGAACGAAAAGCGUGGGGUUAAUACCUUUACGUGCUGACGGUACCUGAGGAAUAAGCACCGGCUAACUUCGUGCCAGCAGCCGCGGUAAUACAGAGGGUGCGAGCGUUAAUCGGAGUGACUGGGCGUAAAGGGCAUGUAGGCGGUUAUAUUAGUCUGAUGUAAAAGACCCGGGCUUAACCUGGGAUAUGCAUUGGAAACGGUAUAGCUAGAGUAUGGGAGAGGGAAGUGGAAUUUCCGGUGUAGCGGUGAAAUGCGUAGAGAUCGGAAAGAACACUCGUGGCGAAGGCGGCUUUCUGGCCCAUAACUGACGCUGAGGUGCGAAAGCAUGGGGAGCAAACAGGAUUAGAUACCCCAGUAGUCCCUGAGCGGGCUGGCAAGGCGCAU